Molecule: small RNA, 24 nt
Filed under: Arabidopsis thaliana (thale cress)
Lineage: Eukaryota; Viridiplantae; Streptophyta; Magnoliopsida; Brassicales; Brassicaceae
Description: ATSL217760
Source: RNAcentral
GCUGAAGUUCUCUACUAUUAAAGA